RNAcentral lists this unclassified non-coding RNA (331 nucleotides) under soil metagenome. RNAcentral describes it as "partial contains 5.8S ribosomal RNA, internal transcribed spacer 2, and large subunit ribosomal RNA". The stretch from base 1 to 120 matches the Rfam family "5.8S ribosomal RNA", at positions 35 to 154 of the family's 154-position model. The record is from RNAcentral.
GAAGAAGAACGCAGCGAAAUGCGAUAAGUAAUGUGAAUUGCAGAAUUCAGUGAAUCAUCGAAUCUUUGAACGCACAUUGCGCCCCCUGGUAUUCCGGGGGGCAUGCCUGUUCGAGCGUCAUUUCACCACUCAAGCCUCGCUUGGUAUUGGGCAACGCGGUCCGCCGCGUGCCUCAAAUCGACCGGCUGGGUCUUCUGUCCCCUAAGCGUUGUGGAAACUAUUCGCUAAAGGGUGUUCGGGAGGCUACGCCGUAAAACAACCCCAUUUCUAAGGUUGACCUCGGAUCAGGUAGGGAUACCCGCUGAACUUAAGCAUAUCAAUAAGCGGAGGA